RNAcentral lists this small nucleolar RNA (77 nucleotides) under Echinops telfairi (small Madagascar hedgehog). RNAcentral describes it as "Small nucleolar RNA SNORD113/SNORD114 family (ENSETEG00000022278.1)". It matches the Rfam family "Small nucleolar RNA SNORD113/SNORD114 family". From Rfam's summary of the family: The imprinted human domain at 14q32 contains two clusters of tandemly repeated small nucleolar RNAs named 14q(I) and 14q(II) snoRNAs. Lineage: Eukaryota; Metazoa; Chordata; Mammalia; Afrosoricida; Tenrecidae. The record is from RNAcentral.
UGGAUCGAUGAUGAGUACGUGUGGGGCAUCUGAAUAGGACAUUUUGAUUAAACCCUAACUGUAACUCUGAGGUCCAU